RNAcentral lists this ribosomal RNA (444 nucleotides) under uncultured bacterium. Its description in RNAcentral is "bacterial SSU rRNA". It matches the Rfam family "Bacterial small subunit ribosomal RNA", at positions 46 to 526 of the family's 1533-position model. The record is from RNAcentral.
GCCUAACACAUGCAAGUCGAGCGGUAAGGCUCCUUCGGGAGUACACGAGCGGCGGACGGCUGAGUAACGCGUAGGGACGUACCCCAGAGUGAGGAAUAACUGCCCGAAAGGGUAGCUAAUACCGCAUAAUCACUUCGGUGCAAAGCUUUAGCGCUUUGGGAACGGCCUGCGUAUGAUUAGCUUGUUGGUGAGGUAAUGGCUCACCAAGGCGACGAUCAUUAGCUGGUCUGAGAGGAUGAUCAGCCAGACUGGGACUGAGACACGGCCCAGACUCCUACGGGAGGCAGCAGUAGGGAAUUUUCCACAAUGGGGGCAACCCUGAUGGAGCAACGCCGCGUGCAGGAUGAAGGCCUUCGGGUCGUAAAGCUCUUUUACCCGGGAAGAUAAUGACGGUACCGGGAGAAUAAGCCCCGGCAAACUUCGUGCCAGCAGCCGCGGUAAUAC